RNAcentral lists this long non-coding RNA (1281 nucleotides) under Oncorhynchus mykiss (rainbow trout). RNAcentral describes it as "lncRNA (ENSOMYG00000058444.1)". The record is from RNAcentral. Lineage: Eukaryota; Metazoa; Chordata; Actinopteri; Salmoniformes; Salmonidae.
AUGACUGCUGAGUGUGAGGAAUCUAAGGCAGGAGACAGGAUGGACCCACACAGGCCUGCAGAACCGGUCCCGUUGGGAGAAGAGAGAGGGCCUUCAGUUUGGGCUCCAACAUUAUGCACGGUAUACAGGACGGCGUGUUGGGAGAAGAGAGAGGGCCUUCAGUUUGGGCUCCAACAUUAUGCACGGUGUACAGGACGGCGUGUUGGGAGAAGAGAGAGGGCCUUCAGUUUGGGCUCCAACAUUAUGCACGGGUUACAGGACGGCGUGUUGGGAGAAGAGAGAGGGCCUUCAGUUUGGGCUCCAACAUUAUGCACGGGUUACAGGACGGCGUGUUGGGAGAAGAGAGAGGGCCUUCAGUUUGGGCUCCAACAUUAUGCACGGGUUACAGGACGGCGUGUUGGGAGAAGAGAGAGGGCCUUCAGUUUGGGCUCCAACAUUAUGCACGGGUUACAGGACGGCGUGUUGGGAGAAGAGAGAGGGCCUUCAGUUUGGGCUCCAACAUUAUGCACGGUGUACAGGACGGUGUGUUGGGAGAAGAGAGAGGGCCUUCAGUCUGGGCUCCAACAUUAUGCACGGGUUACAGGACGGUGUGUUGGGAGAAGAGAGAGGGCCUUCAGUUUGGGCUCCAACAUUAUGCACGGGUUACAGGACGGUGUGUUGGGAGAAGAGAGAGGGCCUUCAGUCUGGGCUCCAACAUUAUGCACGGGUUACAGGACGGCGUGUUGGGAGAAGAGAGAGGGCCUUCAGUUUGGGCUCCAACAUUAUGCACGGUAUACAGGACGGCGUGUUGGGAGAAGAGAGAGGGCCUUCAGUCUGGGCUCCAACAUUAUGCACGGGUUACAGGACGGCGUGUUGGGAGAAGAGAGAGGGCCUUCAGUUUGGGCUCCAACAUUAUGCACGGGUUACAGGACGGCGUGUUGGGAGAAGAGAGAGGGCCUUCAGUUUGGGCUCCAACAUUAUGCACGGUGUACAGGACGGCGUGUUGGGAGAAGAGAGAGGGCCUUCAGUUUGGGCUCCAACAUUAUGCACGGGUUACAGGACGGCGUGUUGGGAGAAGAGAGAGGGCCUUCAGUUUGGGCUCCAACAUUAUGCACGGUGUACAGGACGGAGUGUUGGGAGAAGAGAGAGGGCCUUCAGUUUGGGCUCCAACAUUAUGCACGGGUUACAGGACGGCGUGUUGGGAGAAGAGAGAGGGCCUUCAGUUUGGGCUCCAACAUUAUGCACGGUGUACGACAUCAUAGGAAGGAGGUAGGGAAGAGUAUUAUUGAGGUGGAUGAUUGA